GGGCGUGUGGUCUAGUGGUAUGAUUCUCGCUUUGGGUGGCGAAGCCUUGGUUCACCAAGGCUUACUGCAUGUGAGAGGCCCUGGGUUCAAUUCCCAGCUCGCCCC
This 105-nucleotide transfer RNA is filed under the name Eremothecium cymbalariae DBVPG#7215. It matches the Rfam family "tRNA". From Rfam's summary of the family: Transfer RNA (tRNA) molecules are approximately 80 nucleotides in length. Their secondary structure includes four short double-helical elements and three loops (D, anti-codon, and T loops). Lineage: Eukaryota; Fungi; Ascomycota; Saccharomycetes; Saccharomycetales; Saccharomycetaceae. The record is from Rfam by way of RNAcentral.